RNAcentral lists this long non-coding RNA (1115 nucleotides) under Anser cygnoides (Swan goose). RNAcentral describes it as "lncRNA (ENSACDG00005008461.1)". The record is from RNAcentral. Lineage: Eukaryota; Metazoa; Chordata; Aves; Anseriformes; Anatidae.
UCCCGGCGGCGCCUGAUUGAUUGACAGUUGUCCAUCGCCCCCAGGAGACAGCGACCCGCUGCGCUUCCGCCCCGAGCCCGGCAACAUGGCGGGGGAGGAAGAGGAGGAGGAGGAGGGGCCGCACGCGACGAAGGCCCCGGGGCUGGGCGGGGGGCGGCGCUACGUGCCCCCGCGCCUCGUGCCCGUGCAGUACGGUAAGGCUAAUCCCCCAUAAUCCCUCCUUAAUCCCCCAUAAUCCCUCAAUAAUCCUUCAUUUUCCCCCCAAUCCCCCUUAAUUUUUUCCAAUUCCUCCUUAAUCUCCCUAUUUUCCCCUUAAAUGCACCAAAAUCCCCUCAUAACGCCACUGUUUCCCCCCAUUCUUGCUGUAAACCUCCAUAAUCCCACAAUUUCCCCCAUAAUCCCCCCAUAAAUCCCUAUAAUUUCCCCCAAUCCCUCCUAAAUCCCCCAUAUUCCCUGCAUAUUUUCCCUAAAUCCCCCCCAAUGCCUCCGUAAUUCUUCCAAAAUCCCCUAUAAUCCUUCUGUAAUUGUUUUCCCAUUAAAUACCCCCAAAUCUCUCCAAAAUCCCCCCAUUUUAUACCCUAACUCUCCCUAAUGCUCUAUAAUCCUCCAUAAUCCCCUAUAAUGUUCUCAUUUUCCUGCUAAAUACCCCGUAAUCCCCCACGAUCCCUCCUAAAUCCUCCUAACACCCCCUAAUCCCCCAUAAUUCCUCUAUAAUUCCCUCAUUUUCCCCCUAAUCCCUCCAUAAUCCCCCUAAUCCCUUAUAAAACCUCCCAAUCUUUCCCCCCCAUAUCCUACAUAAUCCCGCCAUUUCUCCCCCUACUCCCUUACAAUCAACCGUAAUCCUCCCGUAAUCCAACAUGAUGUCCCCUGAUCUCCUUAAUCCCUCUUAAUCCUGUCUUAAUCUCCUUAAUUUUUUCCAAAUUCCCUAUAAUCCCUCGAUAAUCCGUUCGUUUUCCCCCUAAAUCUCCCUAAUCUCUCCGUAAUUCCCGUUUCCCUCACUUUCCCUCCUAAUCCUCCCAUAAUCCUGCCUAAUCCCUCUUUAAUCCCCCAUAAUCCCGCCUAAUCCCUCUUUAAUCCCCCAUAAUCCCGCCAUAUAAUUCCCCCAUUUUUCCCCC